GGUUAAGCGACUAAGCGUACACGGUGGAUGCCCUGGCAGUCAGAGGCGAUGAAGGACGUGCUAAUCUGCGAAAAGCGUCGGUAAGGUGAUAUGAACCGUUACAGCCGGCGAUGUCCGAAUGGGGAAACCCAGUGCAAUUCGUUGCACUAUCGUUAACUGAAUACAUAGGUUAACGAGGCGAACCGGGGGAACUGAAACAUCUAAGUACCCCGAGGAAAAGAAAUCAACCGAGAUUCCCCCAGUAGCGGCGAGCGAACGGGGAGCAGCCCAGAGUCUGAAUCAGCUUGUGUGUUAGUGGAACGGUCUGGAAAGUCCGACGGUACAGGGUGAUAGUCCCGUACACCAAAAUGCACAGGUUGUGAACUCGAAGAGUAGGGCGGGACACGUGGUAUCCUGUCUGAAUAUGGGGGGACCAUCCUCCAAGGCUAAAUACUCCUGACUGACCGAUAGUGAACCAGUACCGUGAGGGAAAGGCGAAAAGAACCCCGGCGAGGGGAGUGAAAAAGAACCUGAAACCGUGUACGUACAAGCAGUGGGAGCACCUUCGGGUGUGACUGCGUACCUUUUGUAUAAUGGGUCAGCGACUUAUAUUCUGUAGCAAGGUUAACCGUAUAGGGGAGCCGCAGGGAAACCGAGUCUUAACUGGGCGUUAAGUUGCAGGGUAUAGACCCGAAACCCGGUGAUCUAGCCAUGGGCAGGUUGAAGGUUGGGUAACACUAACUGGAGGACCGAACCGACUAAUGUUGAAAAAUUAGCGGAUGACUUGUGGCUGGGGGUGAAAGGCCAAUCAAACCGGGAGAUAGCUGGUUCUCCCCGAAAGCUAUUUAGGUAGCGCCUCGUGAAUUCAUCUUCGGGGGUAGAGCACUGUUUCGGCUAGGGGGUCAUCCCGACUUACCAACCCGAUGCAAACUACGAAUACCGAAGAAUGUUAUCACGGGAGACACACGGCGGGUGCUAACGUCCGUCGUGAAGAGGGAAACAACCCAGACCGCCAGCUAAGGUCCCAAAGUCAUGGUUAAGUGGGAAACGAUGUGGGAAGGCACAGACAGCCAGGAUGUUGGCUUAGAAGCAGCCAUCAUUUAAAGAAAGCGUAAUAGCUCACUGGUCGAGUCGGCCUGCGCGGAAGAUGUAACGGGGCUAAACCAUGCACCGAAGCUGCGGCAGCGACACUAUGUGUUGUUGGGUAGGGGAGCGUUCUGUAAGCCUGCGAAGGUGACCUGUGAGGGUUGCUGGAGGUAUCAGAAGUGCGAAUGCUGACAUAAGUAACGAUAAAGCGGGUGAAAAGCCCGCUCGCCGGAAGACCAAGGGUUCCUGUCCAACGUUAAUCGGGGCAGGGUGAGUCGACCCCUAAGGCGAGGCCGAAAGGCGUAGUCGAUGGGAAACAGGUUAAUAUUCCUGUACUUGGUGUUACUGCGAAGGGGGGACGGAGAAGGCUAUGUUAGCCGGGCGACGGUUGUCCCGGUUUAAGCAUGUAGGCUGGUUAUCCAGGCAAAUCCGGAUAAUCAAGGCUGAGGUGUGAUGACGAGGCACUACGGUGCUGAAGUAACAAAUGCCCUGCUUCCAGGAAAAGCCUCUAAGCAUCAGGUAACAUCAAAUCGUACCCCAAACCGACACAGGUGGUCAGGUAGAGAAUACCAAGGCGCUUGAGAGAACUCGGGUGAAGGAACUAGGCAAAAUGGUGCCGUAACUUCGGGAGAAGGCACGCUGGUGUGUAGGUGAAGCCCCUGCGGGUGGAGCUGAGACCAGUCGAAGAUACCAGCUGGCUGCAACUGUUUAUUAAAAACACAGCACUGUGCAAACACGAAAGUGGACGUAUACGGUGUGACGCCUGCCCGGUGCCGGAAGGUUAAUUGAUGGGGUUAUCCGUAAGGAGAAGCUCUUGAUCGAAGCCCCGGUAAACGGCGGCCGUAACUAUAACGGUCCUAAGGUAGCGAAAUUCCUUGUCGGGUAAGUUCCGACCUGCACGAAUGGCGUAAUGAUGGCCAGGCUGUCUCCACCCGAGACUCAGUGAAAUUGAACUCGCUGUGAAGAUGCAGUGUACCCGCGGCAAGACGGAAAGACCCCGUGAACCUUUACUAUAGCUUGACACUGAACAUUGAGCCUUGAUGUGUAGGAUAGGUGGGAGGCUUUGAAGCGUGGACGCCAGUCUGCGUGGAGCCAACCUUGAAAUACCACCCUUUAAUGUUUGAUGUUCUAACGUUGGCCCCUUACCGGGGUUGCGGACAGUGUCUGGUGGGUAGUUUGACUGGGGCGGUCUCCUCCCAAAGCGUAACGGAGGAGCACGAAGGUUAGCUAAUCCUGGUCGGACAUCAGGAGGUUAGUGCAAUGGCAUAAGCUAGCUUGACUGCGAGCGUGACGGCGCGAGCAGGUGCGAAAGCAGGUCAUAGUGAUCCGGUGGUUCUGAAUGGAAGGGCCAUCGCUCAACGGAUAAAAGGUACUCCGGGGAUAACAGGCUGAUACCGCCCAAGAGUUCAUAUCGACGGCGGUGUUUGGCACCUCGAUGUCGGCUCAUCACAUCCUGGGGCUGAAGUAGGUCCCAAGGGUAUGGCUGUUCGCCAUUUAAAGUGGUACGCGAGCUGGGUUUAGAACGUCGUGAGACAGUUCGGUCCCUAUCUGCCGUGGGCGCUGGAGAAUUGAGGGGGGCUGCUCCUAGUACGAGAGGACCGGAGUGGACGCAUCACUGGUGUUCGGGUUGUCAUGCCAAUGGCACUGCCCGGUAGCUAAAUGCGGAAGAGAUAAGUGCUGAAAGCAUCUAAGCACGAAACUUGCCCCGAGAUGAGUUCUCCCUGAGACUUUAAGUCUCCUGAAGGAACGUUAAAGACGAUGACGUUGAUAGGCCGGGUGUGUAAGCGCAGCGAUGCGUUGAGCUAACCGGUACUAAUGAACCGUGAGGCUUAACCUU
This 2902-nucleotide ribosomal RNA is filed under the name Escherichia coli. Its description in RNAcentral is "23S ribosomal RNA". It matches the Rfam family "Bacterial large subunit ribosomal RNA". The record is from RNAcentral. Lineage: Bacteria; Pseudomonadati; Pseudomonadota; Gammaproteobacteria; Enterobacterales; Enterobacteriaceae. RNAcentral also lists the same sequence under 1 other name.